GGGUCAUCUUCGGUAUCAGCAUCAUGUCCUGAGCAAAGGGCUGUGGCUCUGGGAACGGUUGUAGCCUGAGGUAGCUCCUCUGAGGCAGAAAGCCUGGUGUCCUCCAUCUGCAAUGAGAAGAGGGAAGAAAAAGUGGUAAAUGAUAAAUCGGGAGUUUUCUUUGGGGAGCCCAGGUGACAUUCAGGAGAGGUCUUGACAUGAGUCUGCUACCCGACGCAAGAAUCAGAGUGCUGCUAGUGGCAGCAUGAGACUCUUCCCCAAGCUGAUCCUACCCUCAGCCCUUUCAAGAGUUCUUCCUCCAGACACCCUGCCUGUGAGAACUCCGAGCGCUUUGGCAUGCAGAAGCUGGAACACAUUGCCUAGCCUUUCAGAAGAGGAUAGAUGAAGCCUCAAUCAUUCUGUCACUGACAGGAGACACAUCCAAACCCACUCAGCUCAGCUCAUAUGCCAGUGGUAAUAAAUAAUGGCAAAAUGAUCA
This is a long non-coding RNA of Myotis lucifugus (little brown bat), 478 nucleotides long. RefSeq lists it as uncharacterized. The record is from RefSeq and is a predicted model, not a curated record. Lineage: Eukaryota; Metazoa; Chordata; Mammalia; Chiroptera; Vespertilionidae. The transcript is spliced from 2 exons.